GCCACCUUAGCUCAGUUGGUAGAGCAGCUGUUUUGUAAACAGCAUGUCGUCAGUUCGAGUCUGGCAGGUGGCU
This 73-nucleotide transfer RNA is filed under the name Candidatus Dojkabacteria bacterium. Its description in RNAcentral is "tRNA-Thr". It matches the Rfam family "tRNA". From Rfam's summary of the family: Transfer RNA (tRNA) molecules are approximately 80 nucleotides in length. Their secondary structure includes four short double-helical elements and three loops (D, anti-codon, and T loops). The record is from RNAcentral.